RNAcentral lists this ribosomal RNA (524 nucleotides) under uncultured bacterium. RNAcentral describes it as "partial 16S ribosomal RNA". It matches the Rfam family "Bacterial small subunit ribosomal RNA", at positions 28 to 523 of the family's 1533-position model. The record is from RNAcentral.
GACGAACGCUGGCGGCGUGCUUAACACAUGCAAGUCGAACGGACAGACAGAGAGCUUGCUCUCUUGAAGUUAGUGGCGAACGGGUGAGUAACGCGUAAUCAACCUGCCCUUCAGAGGGGGAUAACAACGGGAAACCGUUGCUAAUACCGCGUACGAUUCAUGAACGGCAUCGUUUAUGAAUGAAAGGUGGCCUCUAUGUAUAAGCUAUCGCUGAUGGAGGGGAUUGCGUCUGAUUAGCUAGUUGGAGGGGUAACGGCCCACCAAGGCAAUGAUCAGUAGCCGGUCUGAGAGGAUGAACGGCCACAUUGGGACUGAGACACGGCCCAAACUCCUACGGGAGGCAGCAGUGGGGAACCUUCCGCAAUGGACGAAAGUCUGACGGAGCAACGCCGCGUGAGUGAUGAAGGUCUUCGGAUUGUAAAGCUCUGUUAAUCGGGACGGAAGAGUUCUGCGUGAAUAAUGCAGAAAAGUGACGGUACCGGAAUAGAAAGCCACGGCUAACUACGUGCCAGCCGCCGCAGUAA